Molecule: ribosomal RNA, 433 nt
Filed under: uncultured bacterium
Lineage: Bacteria
Description: partial 16S ribosomal RNA
Rfam family: Bacterial small subunit ribosomal RNA
Source: RNAcentral
AACGAACGCUGGCGGCAUGCCUAACACAUGCAAGUCGAACGAGACCUUCGGGUCUAGUGGCGCACGGGUGCGUAACGCGUGGGAACCUGCCCUUAGGUUCGGAAUAACUCCCCGAAAGGGGUGCUAAUACCGGAUAAUGUCUUCGGACCAAAGAUUUAUCGCCUUUGGAUGGGCCCGCGUUGGAUUAGCUAGUUGGUAGGGUAAAAGCCUACCAAGGCGACGAUCCAUAGCUGGUCUGAGAGGAUGAUCAGCCACACUGGGACUGAGACACGGCCCAGACUCCUAGGGGAGGCAGCAGUGGGGAAUAUGGGACAAUGGGCGAAAGCCUGAUCCAGCAAUGCCGCGUGAGUGAUGAAGGCCUUAGGGUUGUAAAGCUCUGUUACCCGGGAUGAUAAUGACAGUACCGGGAGAAUAAGCUCCGGCUAACUCCGUG